GAUAAACGCUGGCGGCGUGCAUGAGACAUGCAAGUCGAACGAAGGAUCGGGCUUGCUCGAUCCUUAGUGGCGGACGGCUGCGUAACGCGUAGGUGACCUACCCCGAAGUGGGGAAUAACUGCCCGAAAGGGUGGCUAAUACCGCAUGUGGUCGCACGUUCAUUCGUGCGAGUAAAGUCGCAAGGCGCUUCGGGAGGGGCCUGCGUCCGCUUAGCUCGUUGGUUGGGUAAUGGCUUACCAAGGCGACGAUCGGUAGGUGGUCUGAAAGGACGAUCACCCAGACUGGGACUGCGGCACGGCCCAGACUCCUACGUGAGGCAGCAGUCGGGAAUUUUGCUCAAUGGGGGAAACCCUGAAGCAGCAACGCCGCGUGAGAGAUGAAGGCCUUCGGGUUGUAAACCUCUUUUGUCAGGGACGAGGAUGACGGUACCUGGCGAAUAGACCACGGCUAACUACGUG
RNAcentral lists this ribosomal RNA (458 nucleotides) under uncultured bacterium. RNAcentral's name for it is "partial 16S ribosomal RNA". It matches the Rfam family "Bacterial small subunit ribosomal RNA", at positions 28 to 507 of the family's 1533-position model. The record is from RNAcentral.